CUACCACUAUUUCUUAAAUUGAACACUAACUAUUUAUUAAACUGAACAUUGACUAUUUCUUAAACUAAACAAUGGUACUACCACUAUUUCAUAAACUGAACACAUCCUAUUUCUAUAACGAUUUAGGUUCGUGAUACAAACAAUAAAUUCUAAAGUACAACGAAAAGGUGUCUUUAGUUUGCCUGUAAGCAAUGUAGUUCACCACUUCAAUCAAAGGAGCAAUUUUUGCUUACACGUAUAAAGAGCAUGGAAGAUGCUUCGGGAAUUAACAUAUUUGUCACUCAUAAUGCACCCUCAGCUAAAUGAUUAGGUAUUAUUUAUGUACAAACAUUUGAGAUGUUAUGUUGCAGUAUAACAAUUUAUGAGUGUUUUGUUCGAAAAAAACGUUUUAUGAAUAGUAUUUAGAACAACACAUAUGCAAUGAAAUGUGUAGUUUUAUUUGCAAUUUGAAUGUUGGUUUAGUGUAAUCAAAUAAUCAAUACCAGCAUUUUAUUUACUGGGAUUUCAGUUUUGUUCCAUCUACUCAUAGUGCAAUUGUUAAUUCAUAAAAUGUGUUCAAAUCUUCUGACUUUUAUUUUCUAAAAAUAAUAGAGGAGAUAGUAUGCAACACUACAUUACUAUUAAGUUGGGUAGAUACUAUAGUUUAACUUAU
RNAcentral lists this long non-coding RNA (652 nucleotides) under Malus domestica (apple). Its description in RNAcentral is "long non-coding RNA (MDOM_LNC002832)". The record is from RNAcentral. Lineage: Eukaryota; Viridiplantae; Streptophyta; Magnoliopsida; Rosales; Rosaceae.